AUGAACCAAUGGCUGAACCGGAUGCUGUCACACCGGGCGGUUAUCGGGAUCAAGUGGGACAAAGUUUGGAAAGCACUGGCCACAUGCCUCGCCCUUGAAUGCACUCAGGACCUGAAGGUCAUUGUUGACAUCAGGGGCCACCUCCCCGGGGGCAGUGUCCCCAGCUCCACCGGACAAGGUCCCCGGCUUACCCACCUCCUCUGUUCUGAUCUCUGGCUGCCUGAGCUCCGGGCUCGGGGGAUGGAAAGGUCUCCCCUUCUCAGGAACCGGAGGUUAACUGAAAACGCUCCCUCUCCUAGCUGCAGAGGAGGCCCGCAGACAACGCCAAGCACAACAGGCCCAGCGUGGAGGGGGCCUGGGGCCUGUUCAGGCAGAGCCGGGGGGACAUGUGUGGGGGCCAGGAAUGUGAGCUCACGAACGUCGCGAGGGGCAGCAGCCGGCUGCGGUGGGGACGCAGGCAGGCGCGAGGGAGUCGUAGGCCUCCUUUCCGUCUCUCUCUGUGCUUCUUCCACCCUCCUGCUUUUCUGAUCGGAGCAAAUAAUCCCUGCAUUAUUCCCCAGUAAUCCGUGUUAUGACUGUCCGAGCACCUCCCACCAGCAGGAACCUGUGGCGAGGUGUGGGGGUGCGAUCAUAGAAACCCAGAGGGCCGUGGGGGGGGGGGGCGGCCGUGCCCUCGAGGGGACAACUGGCUAUACCUGGAGACCCUUUGGGUUGUCAUGACUAGGGGGCAGGUGCUGCUGGCAUCUAGGGGUGGAGGCCGGGGAUGCCGCCAACCUUCCUGCAGCGCACGGGACGGCCCUCCGCAACGAGGAGGUAUCUGGCCCAGAAUGUCAGUAGUGCGGAGGCUGAAAAACCCCGAUUUCUCACGAUCCCGUUGUGUGAGACGAGGAUACCGGGGUCCAGAACAGCUAAGUGCAUGUCCAGGGACACACAGGCAUGAAAGGGCAAGGCUAUUUCAACCCAGAAAGCCUGGUCCUGCUGUCCUCCUGUGCCUCCUGCUAUUAGAGUUCACGGGCGUGGAAGGUGAGGGC
RNAcentral lists this long non-coding RNA (1031 nucleotides) under Felis catus (domestic cat). RNAcentral's name for it is "lncRNA (ENSFCAG00000044552.2)". Lineage: Eukaryota; Metazoa; Chordata; Mammalia; Carnivora; Felidae. The record is from RNAcentral.